This 682-nucleotide long non-coding RNA is filed under the name Homo sapiens (human). Its description in RNAcentral is "non-protein coding lnc-TRAPPC13-2:1". Lineage: Eukaryota; Metazoa; Chordata; Mammalia; Primates; Hominidae. The record is from RNAcentral.
CACCUGUGUGGUAGUAAGGUGCAGAAUUACUCAAUGCCCACUUCAAGUUUACCAUUGAGAUGAUUUCCCACCCCCCUCCUCUAACUGGCACCAUUGCCCAUAACUAAUUUCUUGCUCUCCCCAGGUGCCUCAAGAACCUCUUGGGGGCCUUUAUAUUCUGUCAUGCUUACCUAGCUGAUCGGGACAUGGAGUGUCUGUCUUAGUAACCAAGCCUCAGUCAGCUAAAGGAGCUGCAUCUGAUUCAUAUCCUAAUGUGGACCACCAAUCUUGAGCCCCUUGGAGCUCUGCUAGAGAAAGUUGCUGCUACUCUCGAGACCCUCACGUUAAAGGACUGUCAGAUCCAGGACUCCCAACUCAGGCUCCUCCUGCCUGCCCUGAGCCACUGCUCCCAGCUCACCACCUUCUACUUUCAUGGAAACGAGACCUCCAUGAAUGCUCUGAAAGACCUGCUGUGUCACACAGGCGGGCUGAGCAAGUUAGGCCUGGAAUUGUAUCCUUCCCAUCUGGAGAGUCUUGACAACAGGGGUCAUGCCAAUUGGGAGAUCCUUGCCCCAAUUCGGGCUGAGCUGAUGUGUACAGUCAGGGAAGUCAGGCAGCCCAAGAGGAUCUUUUUUGGUCCCGUCCCCUGCCCUUCCUGUGGCUCAUGGCCAUCUGAGAAAGUGGACCUCCAUCUUUGCUCUUA